GGACCCGCACAAGCGGUGGAGCAUGUGGUUUAAUUCGAUGCAACGCGAAAAACCUUACCUACUCUUGACAUACUUGGAAGCUCUUGUAAUGAGAGUGUGCCUUUUGGAGCCAAGAUACAGGUGCUGCAUGGCUGUCGUCAGCUCGUGUCGUGAGAUGUUCCGUUAAGUCGGAUAACGAGCGCAACCCUUACCCUUAUUUGCCAGCGAUUCGGUCGGGAACUAUAAGGGGACUGCCGGUGAUAAACCGGAGGAAGGUGAGGACGACGUCAAGUCAUCAUGGCCCUUACGAGUAGGGCUACACACGUGCUACAAUGGGGAAUACAGACGGACGCUAAGCCGCGAGGUGGUGCUAAUCCCAAAAAAGUUGCUCAGUUCGGAUUGGAGUCUGCAACUCGACUCCAUGAAGUUGGAAUC
This 414-nucleotide ribosomal RNA is filed under the name uncultured bacterium. RNAcentral's name for it is "bacterial SSU rRNA". It matches the Rfam family "Bacterial small subunit ribosomal RNA", at positions 917 to 1333 of the family's 1533-position model. The record is from RNAcentral.